CGUAGGGGGCAAGCGUUGUCCGGAUUUAUUGGGCGUAAAGAGCGUGUAGGCGGUUUGGUAGGUCCGCUGUGAAAACUCGAGGCUCAACCUCGAGACGCCGGUGGAAACCAUCAGACUAGAGUCCGGAAGAGGAGAGUGGAAUUCCUGGUGUAGCGGUGAGAUGCGCAGAUAUCAGGAAGAACACCCGUGGCUAAGGCGGCUCUCUAGUACGGUACUGACGCUGAGACGCGAAAGCGUGGGGAGCGAACAGG
Molecule: ribosomal RNA, 251 nt
Filed under: uncultured bacterium
Lineage: Bacteria
Description: partial 16S ribosomal RNA
Rfam family: Bacterial small subunit ribosomal RNA
Source: RNAcentral